CAAUAGCGUAUAUUAAAGUUGUUGCAGUUAAAAAGCUCGUAGUUGGAUCUGUGGUGUGCGGUGGGCUCCGGGCACUUGUUGUCUGAGUAGCUCGCCGCUGCCAUCCUUGGGUGGAACCUGUGUGGCAUUAGGUUGUCGUGCAGGGGAUGCCCAUCGUUUACUGUGAAAAAAUUAGAGUGUUCAAAGCAGGCUUAUGCCGUUGAAUAUAUUAGCAUGGAAUAAUGAGAUAGGACUUUUUCGCUAUUUUGUUGGUUUGCGCGAAGAGGUAAUGAUUAAUAGGGACAGUUGGGGGUAUUCGUAUUCCAUUGUCAGAGGUGAAAUUCUUAGAUUUUUGGAAGACGAACUACUGCGAAAGCAUUUACCAAGGAUGUUUUCAUUAA
This 380-nucleotide ribosomal RNA is filed under the name uncultured eukaryote. Its description in RNAcentral is "partial 18S ribosomal RNA". It matches the Rfam family "Eukaryotic small subunit ribosomal RNA", at positions 592 to 976 of the family's 1831-position model. The record is from RNAcentral.